GGAUUAGAUACCCUGGUAGUCCACGCAGUAAACGAUGGGUACUAGACGUUGGAAAGCGUAAAGCUAUUUAGUGUCGCAGUUAACACAAUAAGUACCCCGCCUGGGGAAUACGGCCGCAAGGCUAAAACUCAAAGGAAUUGACGGGGGCCCGCACAAGCGGUGGAGCAUGUGGUUUAAUUCGAUGCAACGCGCAAGACCUUACCUACCCUUGACAUCCUGUUAAGUUAACGGAGACGUUAAUGUGUUUACGGACAUGCAGAGACAGGUGCUGCAUGGCUGUCGUCAGCUCGUGUUG
Molecule: ribosomal RNA, 295 nt
Filed under: uncultured bacterium
Lineage: Bacteria
Description: partial 16S ribosomal RNA
Rfam family: Bacterial small subunit ribosomal RNA
Source: RNAcentral